UUCUAGCUCAGAAUGCUAUGUUGCCACUUCGUUUGGUUUCGUUGUCGUGUUUCUUUUCUCCUUCUUGAUUAUUCAAGUAAAUUCAAUCUUCUGCUUAUAACGUGUUCCGUCCCAAAACAUUCAAUCUUCUGCUUGGUAGGUUCUUUUUCUCGUUAUUCUUCUCGUUCUUCAUUAGUCUAAGAACAUUCGAUCAUUCGAUCUUCUGCUUGAGAAAAGAACCUUGAUUGAGGAAACAUUUUUUGUCCCAAAACAUUCAAUCUUCUGCGAAAAUAACCUUAAUUGAGGAGUGUUCUGUCUCAAAAAAUUCAAUCUUCUGCUUGGUAGGUUCUUUUUCUCGUUCUUCAUUAGUCAAGAACUGAGAAAAGAACCUUGAUUGAGGAAACAUUUUUUGUCUCAAAACAUUCAAUCUUCUGCUUGCUAGGUUCUUUUUCUCGUUCUUCAUUAGUCAAGAACUGAGAAAAGAACCUUGAUUGAGGAAACAUUUUUUGUCUCAAAACAUUCAAUCUUCUGCUUGCUAGGUUCUUUUUCUCGUUCUUCAUUAGUCAAGAACUGAGAAAAGAACCUUGAUUGAGGAAACAUUUUUUGUCUCAAAACAUUCAAUCUUCUGCUUGCUAGGUUCUUUUUCUCGUUCUUCAUUAGUCAAGAACUGAGAAAAGAACCUUGAUUGAGGAAACAUUUUUUGUCUCAAAACAUUCAAUCUUCUGCUUGCUAGGUUCUUUUUCUCGUUCUUCAUUAGUCAAGAACUGAGAAAAGAACCUUGAUUGAGGAAACAUUUUUUGUCUCAAAACAUUCAAUCUUCUGCUUGCUAGGUUCUUUUUCUCGUUCUUCAUUAGUCAAGAACUGAGAAAAGAACCUUGAUUGAGGAAACAUUUUUUGUCUCAAAACAUUCAAUCUUCUGCUUGCUAGGUUCUUUUUCUCGUUCUUCAUUAGUCAAGAACUGAGAAAAGAACCUUGAUUGAGGAAACAUUUUUUGUCUCAAAACAUUCAAUCUUCUGCUUGCUAGGUUCUUUUUCUCGUUCUUCAUUAGUCAAGAACUGAGAAAAGAACCUUGAUUGAGGAAACAUUUUUUGUCUCAAAACAUUCAAUCUUCUGCUUGCUAGGUUCUUUUUCUCGUUCUUCAUUAGUCAAGAACUGAGAAAAGAACCUUGAUUGAGGAAACAUUUUUUGUCUCAAAACAUUCAAUCUUCUGCUUGGUAGGUUCUUUUUCUCGUUCUUCAUUAGUCAAGAACUGAGAAAAAGAACCUUGAUUGAGGAAACAAUUUUUGUCUCAAAACAUUCAAUCUUCUGCUUGCUAGGUUCUUUUUCUCGUUCUUCAUUAGUCAAGAACUGAGAAAAGAACCUUGAUUGAGGAAACAUUUUUUGUCUCAAAACAUUCAAUCUUCUGCUUGCUAGGUUCUUUUUCUCGUUCUUCAUUAGUCAAGAACUGAGAAAAGAACCUUGAUUGAGGAAACAUUUUUUGUCUCAAAACAUUCAAUCUUCUGCUUGCUAGGUUCUUUUUCUCGUUCUUCAUUAGUCAAGAACUGAGAAAAGAACCUUGAUUGAGGAAACAUUUUUUGUCCCAAAACAUUCAAUCUUCUGCUUGCUAGGUUCUUUUUCUCGUUCUUCAUUAGUCAAGAACUGAGAAAAGAACCUUGAUUGAGGAAACAUUUUUUAUCCCAAAACAUUCAAUCUUCUGCUUGCUAGGGUCUUUUUCUCGUUCUUCAUUAGUCAAGAACUGAGAAAAGAACCUUGAUCGAGGAAACAUUUUUUGUAUCAAAACAUUCAAUCUUCUGCAAAAAUAACCUUAAUUGAGGAAACAUGUUAUGUCCCAAAAUCCAAUUUGGUACCAAGAUUUUGAAAGAAUUUUUUUUUUUACCAUCAAGGAGUUAUACAUGAUUUUGGAAUAUUCAUUCCCGUUCUUGAUUAUUCAAGAAUAUUCAAUCUUUUGCUUGAGAAAAAAAAAGACCCUUUCAUUUUUUAAUCAAAAUUUAUUAGGGUAUACAAACCCUUAAAGACCGUGAAUCACUGAAAGGUGGGAUUUUUUUCCAUAAAAGCGGUGAAAUUCAUGGUCCGUAGCUCUAACCUGCAUGAAUGUUGCUACUGUAAAAUUGGAAUUUUUGUUCCAUCAUAUUUGCAUCGAUGCCUAUUGGAAAACUAUUUUUCUCAUUUUUGUUCGUCGAAGAACAUUCAAUCUUCUGCAUGAAAAAAUAAAGAACCUUAACUGAGCAAAUGUGUUCUGUCCCAAGACACUCUUUGGCCCAAAUAUUUCAAAAUGAUUUUUAAAUUGAGUUUUGCACCAUUUUAGAAUUUUCAAACAACUUUGUAUGUCUGGUUUUUUUGAUACCUAUUAGGAACGAUAUUGGGCUACUCACUUUAUGGUUCUUGAUAUAUUCAAGACCUUCAAUCUUCUGCUUAAAAAACCAGAAAACCUUCCAUUUUGUAAAUCAAAAUUUAACAGGUUAUACAAAACCUGAAAGACUGAAUCAUUGCAAUAUGAAAUCUGUUUUCAUAAAAAGGGGUAUAUAUCCCACAUGCAGAAAGCAGUGGAUAAACUUUGGUGUAUAGAUUUUGUAAGUGAUGGAUGCCUCAAUGACCCUAUAGGGAAAAUGCAUUAUGAUCUCCUUCAUAAUGUAAGAAAUACAAGUUUGAUUUGAUAAGUGAAAUGAAAUCUGAAUGUCUUGAUGGCCCAAAAAUAUGAUGGAUGAUGCCUUAAAAAUAAAAGCUAGUUGCUGCCUAUAUACAAUUUUAUUAUGUUUUUAGUCAAAGUGUAAAGCAUGGAUGGAUAAUUUGAGAUCUUUUGUCUGGACGACCCUAGUCCCUUUGCAACUGCAAUGUGAGGUGUUUUUCUUAGUGUUGUAUAUGUCCCAAAUGCAGAAAGCAGUGGAUAUACUUUGGUCUAUAGAUUUUGUAAGUGAUGGAUGCCUCAAUGACCCUAGAGGGAAAAUGCAUUAUGAUCUCCUUAUUCAUAAUGUAAGGAAUACAAGUUUGAUUUGAUAAGUGAAAUGAAAUCUGAAUGUCUUGAUGGCCCAAAAAUAUGAUGGAUGAUGCCUUAAAAAUGAAAGCUAGUUGCUGCCUUAUAUACAAUUUUAUUACGUUUUUGUUCAAAAUGUAAAGCAUGGGUGGAUAAUUUGAUAUGUUUUGUCUUGACGACCCUAGUCCCUUUGCAACUGCAAUGUGAUGUGUUUUUCUUAGUGUUGUAUAUGUCCCAAAUGCAGAAAGCAGUGGAUGGAUAUACUUUGGUCUAUAGAUUUUGUAAGUGAUGGAUGCCUCAACGACCCUAGAGGCAAAAUGCAUUAUGAUCUCCUUAUUCAUAAUGUAAGGAAUACAAGUUUGAUUUGAUAAGUGAAAUGAAAUCUGAAUGUCUUGAUGGCCUAGAAAUAUGAUGGAUGAUGCCUUAAAAAUGAAAGCUAGUUGCUGCCUUAUAUACAAUUUUAUUACGUUUUUGUUCAAAAUGUAAAGCAUGGGUGGAUAAUUUGAUAUCUUUUGUCUUGACGACCCUAGUCCCUUUGCAACUGCAAUGUGAGGUGUUUUUCUUAGUGUUGUAUAUGUCCCAAAUGCAGAAAGCAGUGGAUAUACUUUGGUCUAUAGAUUUUGUAAGUGAUGGAUGCCUCAACGACCCUAGAGGGAAAAUGCAUUAUGAUCUCCUUAUUCAUAAUGUAAGGAAUACAAGUUUGAUUUGAUAAGUGAAAUGAAAUCUGAAUGUCUUGAUGGCCUAGAAAUAUGAUGGAUGAUGCCUUAAAAAUGAAAGCUAGUUGCUGCCUUAUAUACAAUUUUAUUACGUUUUUGUUCAAAAUGUAAAGCAUGGGUGGAUAAUUUGAUAUCUUUUGUCUUGACGACCCUAGUCCCUUUGCAACUGCAAUGUGAGGUGUUUUUCUUAGUGUUGUAUAUGUCCCAAAUGCAGAAAGCAGUGGAUAUACUUUGGUCUAUAGAUUUUGUAAGUGAUGGAUGCCUCAACGACCCUAGAGGGAAAAUGCAUUAUGAUCUCCUUAUUCAUAAUGUAAGGAAUACAAGUUUGAUUUGAUAAGUGAAAUGAAAUCUGAAUGUCUUGAUGGCCUAGAAAUAUGAUGGAUGAUGCCUUAAAAAUGAAAGCUAGUUGCUGCCUUAUAUACAAUUUUAUUACGUUUUUGUUCAAAAUGUAAAGCAUGGGUGGAUAAUUUGAUAUCUUUUGUCUUGACGACCCUAGUCCCUUUGCAACUGCAAUGUGAGGUGUUUUUCUUAGUGUUGUAUAUGUCCCAAAUGCAGAAAGCAGUGGAUAUACUUUGGUCUAUAGAUUUUGUAAGUGAUGGAUGCCUCAACGACCCUAGAGGGAAAAUGCAUUAUGAUCUCCUUAUUCAUAAUGUAAGGAAUACAAGUUUGAUUUGAUAAGUGAAAUGAAAUCUGAAUGUCUUGAUGGCCUAGAAAUAUGAUGGAUGAUGCCUUAAAAAUGAAAGCUAGUUGCUGCCUUAUAUACAAUUUUAUUACGUUUUUGUUCAAAAUGUAAAGCAUGGGUGGAUAAUUUGAUAUCUUUUGUCUUGACGACCCUAGUCCCUUUGCAACUGCAAUGUGAGGUGUUUUUCUUAGUGUUGUAUAUGUCCCAAAUGCAGAAAGCAGUGGAUAUACUUUGGUCUAUAGAUUUUGUAAGUGAUGGAUGCCUCAACGACCCUAGAGGGAAAAUGCAUUAUGAUCUCCUUAUUCAUAAUGUAAGGAAUACAAGUUUGAUUUGAUAAGUGAAAUGAAAUCUGAAUGUCUUGAUGGCCUAGAAAUAUGAUGGAUGAUGCCUUAAAAAUGAAAGCUAGUUGCUGCCUUAUAUACAAUUUUAUUACGUUUUUGUUCAAAAUGUAAAGCAUGGGUGGAUAAUUUGAUAUCUUUUGUCUUGACGACCCUAGUCCCUUUGCAACUGCAAUGUGAGGUGUUUUUCUUAGUGUUGUAUAUGUCCCAAAUGCAGAAAGCAGUGGAUAUACUUUGGUCUAUAGAUUUUGUAAGUGAUGGAUGCCUCAACGACCCUAGAGGGAAAAUGCAUUAUGAUCUCCUUAUUCAUAAUGUAAGGAAUACAAGUUUGAUUUGAUAAGUGAAAUGAAAUCUGAAUGUCUUGAUGGCUUAGAAAUAUGAUGGAUGAUGCCUUCAAAAUGAAAGCUAGUUGCUGCCUUAUAUACAAUUUUAUUACGUUUUUGUUCUAAAUGUAAAGCAUGGGUGGAUAAUUUGAUAUCUUUUGUCUUGACGACCCUAGUCCCUUUGCAACUGCAAUGUGAGGUGUUUUUCUUAGUGUUGUAUAUGUCCCAAAUGCAGAAAGCAGUGGAUAUACUUUGGUCUAUAGAUUUUGUAAGUGAUGGAUGCCUCAACGACCCUAGAGGGAAAAUGCAUUAUGAUCUCCUUCAUAAUGUAAGAAAUACAAGUUUGAUUUGAUAAGUGAAAUGAAAUCUGAAUGUCUUGAUGGCCUAGAAAUAUGAUGGAUGAUGCCUUAAAAAUAAAAGCUAGUUGCUGCCUUAUAUACAAUUUUAUUACGUUUUUGUUCAAAAUGUAAAGCAUGGGUGGAUAAUUUGAUAUCUUUUGUCGUGACGACCCUAGUCCCUUUGCAACUGCAAUGUGAGGUGUUUUUCUUAGUGUUGUAUAUGUCCCAAAUGCAGAAAGCAGUGGAUAUACUUUGGUCUAUAGAUUUUGUAAGUGAUGGAUGCCUCAACGACCCUAGAGGGAAAAUGCAUUAUGAUCUCCUUAUUCAUAAUGUAAGGAAUACAAGUUUGAUUUGAUAAGUGAAAUGAAAUCUGAAUGUCUUGAUGGCCUAGAAAUAUGAUGGAUGAUGCCUUAAAAAUGAAAGCUAGUUGCUGCCUUAUAUACAAUUUUAUUACGUUUUUGUUCUAAAUGUAAAGCAUGGGUGGAUAAUUUGAUAUCUUUUGUCUUGACGACCCUAGUCCCUUUGCAACUGCAAUGUGAGGUGUUUUUCUUAGUGUUGUAUAUGUCCCAAAUGCAGAAAGCAGUGGAUAUACUUUGGUCUAUAGAUUUUGUAAGUGAUGGAUGCCUCAACGACCCUAGAGGCAAAAUGCAUUAUGAUCUCCUUAUUCAUAAUGUAAGGAAUACAAGUUUGAUUUGAUAAGUGAAAUGAAAUCUGAAUGUCUUGAUGGCCUAGAAAUAUGAUGGAUGAUGCCUUAAAAAUGAAAGCUAGUUGCUGCCUUAUAUACAAUUUUAUUACGUUUUUGUUCAAAAUGUAAAGCAUGGGUGGAUAAUUUGAUAUCUUUUGUCUUGACGACCCUAGUCCCUUUGCAACUGCAAUGUGAGGUGUUUUUCUUAGUGUUGUAUAUGUCCCAAAUGCAGAAAGCAGUGGAUAUACUUUGGUCUAUAGAUUUUGUAAGUGAUGGAUGCCUCAAUGACCCUAUAGGGAAAAUGCAUUAUGAUCUCCUUAUUCAUAAUGUAAGGAAUACAAGUUUGAUUUGAUAAGUGAAAUGAAAUCUGAAUGUCUUGAUGGCCUAGAAAUAUGAUGGAUGAUGCCUUAAAAAUGAAAGCUAGUUGCUGCCUUAUAUACAAUUUUAUUACGUUUUUGUUCUAAAUGUAAAGCAUGGGUGGAUAAUUUGAUAUCUUUUGUCUUGACGACCCUAGUCCCUUUGCAACUGCAAUGUGAGGUGUUUUUCUUAGUGUUGUAUAUGUCCCAAAUGCAGAAAGCAGUGGAUAUACUUUGGUCUAUAGAUUUUGUAAGUGAUGGAUGCCUCAAUGACCCUAGAGGGAAAAUGCAUUAUGAUCUCCUUAUUCAUAAUGUAAGGAAUACAAGUUUGAUUUGAUAAGUGAAAUGAAAUCUGAAUGUCUUGAUGGCCUAGAAAUAUGAUGGAUGAUGCCUUAAAAAUGAAAGCUAGUUGCUGCCUUAUAUACAAUUUUAUUAUGUUUUUAUUCAAAAUGAAAAGCAUGGAUGGAUAAUUUGAUGUCUUUUGUCUUGACGACCCUAGUCCCUUUGCAACUGCAAUGUGAGGUGAUUUUGCAGAUGAAUACAUUGUGAACUGUGACCACCAUUUGGGGGAUAACAGUCAACUUUUUCUUAGUGUUGUGUUUUGAUUGUCUUUAUGCUAGCUCUUAUCACUUAUGACAGAGUUAUAUUUCUGGUGUUAUGUAUCUAGUUGGUUAAAGCAUGAGAGUUGAACCGUAAGUAUCUACUUGUAAAUGUGUUCACUACGUAAUGCUUUUCUAAUUGAGGUUGGACAUGAGGGAUUAGCCUACCUGUUAUUGUUGGAUUGUCUUGGCUGUUAUUUGGAAAAAAUAUUAAAUAUUCUCAGUGGAAUCAUAAAAUGAGCUAUUUUUGUUGUUGAGUGGAAGGGAAAAGUGCCAUGGAGUGGAAAAUUAUUUGGAUUUAUGCCAUCUCUCAAAUUUAAUUAAGAUAGAGGUGUAUACAGCAUUGUUUGCAUAUGUUGGAUAUGGUAUGUUUUAGUGUAGUUCAAUGUCCCCUUUGAUUUUUGGUAGACACGAGGAUAGAUUCAAAUCUAACGAAACUGUAUUUUAUAAAAGUAGUCCCAUCCCUAGUAAAGAUUUUUCUGCAAAUUGAUACACCGGCUUGCUUAAUAUUCUCUAAUAAAUUAAAUAAAUGAUAUGAUCUGCAAUCUGUUGCUUGUAGUUUACUUCAGCUUGAUGAGAUAAAAUUAUCUGGUGAUCAGCAAUUCAAGCUUUUUUUUUUUAGUAUAAUUGUUUGUGUUGGUUUUAUGAGCUCAUACAUGGUUGCAUUAGUUUCAAUUAAUAGCAUAUUCUUAUAUAUAGAGGAGCUUUGUUCAACAAAGCACGCUAGGGAUAGAGAUUAAGGAACAGUAACAGGUGCUGGGGUUUUUUCUUGAAAGAAUCACAACUAUCAAGGUUGAUUUGUUUACCAUGCACGCUUUUUAGGCCAUGAGUAAAUGUGUGAAUUUUUUUUUAUUUUAAUAUCAGCUAUAACUCCAAGUGCAGCUCUGAAUGGAGUAAAAGCAAGCAAUCAAGUCAUUCUAUAUUUUUUAUUCUGGUCAUAUAUUGCAAUUUUAGUGUGUAAAUAUUGCUCUAUUAUCUUAUUUUAGAAGUCAAGAUAUCCAAGACUCAGUAAUGAUAAAAUACAAGAUGAUUUUGUCAUGAACUAUUAGUAAAAAGUAGUAAGUAUACACCUCUAUCUUAAAUUUGAGAGGAAUUCUCAAAAUUUUCAGUUAAGUAUGCACCUCUAUCUUAUAUUUGUCUGAUGUCAUCUCUCAAAGCUAAGGUAAAUUUUCAGUUAUACAAGUUGAUUUGGGCUAAUGCAGCCAUUGUGUGUACUAAGUUGUAAUGAUCAUAUCAUACAUGUGAAAUCUUCACAAUAUUGCAGCCUGCUGCAAUUUCAGUAUAAACACACCUAUCCAGCCUUGUUUCUCCACUGAUUUUCCUAAUGCCAAGGUAUAAUUAUACCAUAGUGCAGCUUUAUCAUCCGUGCCAAAGUGUUGUCCCCAGAACAUCACAGUGUCACCUAGCUACUAUCUCUAGGUGAUAAACAAGUGGUAGUCUUAAUAGAUUUGGAGCAUCCAACAAUUUUAUUUCUUCUGUUAGUCAAAGAAGGAAGAUAGGAACUAGAAGAAAUAUAAUACUAUGUUGUAGUAGGAGAUGGUAGAAAAAUUCCAUGUGAGGGAUGUGUCCCCAAUUGAAGUUACUCAUGCAAGGAAUGGAGAUACAACAAGAUUUCUUCAUUUUUGAAUUAGGGGGUGACCAGGAAUAUAUCAUGUGGUGAAGGGAGGACCAAAAUUAGCACGAGCAGCAGCUUCAUUCAAAUCCAAUAUGAAGGCAAACAGAGAUGAAGGCCAGGGUAUUUCCUUGGUAUACCAGAGUUUGGAAGGGGGACUAGAGACCAACACCCCUUGGCCGACAUGGUUGGAUGUUGUCCUGAGUAAAUUUGAAGUUUUUCAAAAACCACAAGGAUUACCUUCAUCUAGAAGACAUGAUCAUGCAAUUGUUCUUAAAGAAGAAGGGAUAUUCCAAAUCUCAGGCCUAACAUAUGUCCACAAUGAGAUUGAAAGGUUAGUCGAUGAUAUACUUAGUUCUAGCAUCCUUAGACCUAGUGAGUCAUCUUUAGUCCCCAUCAUUUUGCUAUCCACACUAUUUUGUUCUUUUUGCAUACUAAGAUUUGUUAUGUCGUACAAUAUUGCAUAAUUUAUAUAUGCCUGCAUAAAUAUGAUUAUGAGAGGUUUUGUUAUAA
Non-coding RNA from Cicer arietinum (chickpea), 9112 nucleotides. The record is from RefSeq and is a predicted model, not a curated record. Lineage: Eukaryota; Viridiplantae; Streptophyta; Magnoliopsida; Fabales; Fabaceae.